UGCCUAUACAUGCGAGUCGAACGCGAUGGCCCAAUUGAUUGAUGGUGCUUGCACCUGAUUGAUUUUGGUCGCCAACGAGUGGCGGACGGGUGAGUAACACGUAGGUAACCUGCCCAGAAGCGGGGGACAACAUUUGGAAACAGAUGCUAAUACCGCAUAACAACGUUGUUCGCAUGAACAACGCUUAAAAGAUGGCUUCUCGCUAUCACUUCUGGAUGGACCUGCGGUGCAUUAGCUUGUUGGUGGGGUAACGGCCUACCAAGGCGAUGAUGCAUAGCCGAGUUGAGAGACUGAUCGGCCACAAUGGGACUGAGACACGGCCCAUACUCCUACGGGAGGCAGCAGUAGGGAAUCUUCCACAAUGGGCGCAAGCCUGAUGGAGCAACACCGCGUGAGUGAAGAAGGGUUUCGGCUCGUAAAGCUCUGUUGUUAAAGAAGAACACGUAUGAGAGUAACUGUUCAUACGUUGACGGUAUUUAACCAGAAAGUCACGGCUAACUACGUGCCAGCAGCCGCGGGUAAUACGUAGGUGGCAAGCGGUUAUCCGGAUUUAUUUGGGCGUAAAGAGAGUGCAGGCGGUUUUCUAAGUCUGAUGUGAAAGCCUUACGGCUUAACCCGGAGAAGUGCUUCGGAAACUGGAUAACUUGAGUGCAG
Molecule: ribosomal RNA, 654 nt
Filed under: Limosilactobacillus fermentum
Lineage: Bacteria; Bacillati; Bacillota; Bacilli; Lactobacillales; Lactobacillaceae
Description: bacterial SSU rRNA
Rfam family: Bacterial small subunit ribosomal RNA
Source: RNAcentral